Molecule: long non-coding RNA, 633 nt
Organism: Bubalus bubalis (water buffalo)
Lineage: Eukaryota; Metazoa; Chordata; Mammalia; Artiodactyla; Bovidae
Exons: 4
Source: RefSeq, a predicted model, not a curated record
ACAUGAGUUUGAGCAAGCUCUGAAACUUGGUGAUGGACAGGGAAGCCUGGCGUGCUGCAGUCCAUGGGGUCUCAAAGAGUCGGACACAACUGAGUGACGGAACUGAACUGAACAAACAAAACCCCAUGUCCUUGGCCUUCGCUUGUGCUCCUCGUCCAAAUAAACACUAGGAGACUAAAUCUCGGCUCUCUGUCUUUCAAGAACCCUCCUGUGACAACGUGGACACGUCCGUCUUGCAGGCAGCGUUAGAGCCCCUUCCAGGGCGGUAUAUUCCGUUGACUUUGUGCUGUCUGCUAGUUUAGACUUGGAGCUCUUGGACGCAGAGGAAAGAUAUUCUGCCCUCAAAGAUGUGGAGGAUAGCUACCUACAUCUUAAGUGUAAAGAGCACAUGGUGACUUUCUUCCAAAGAGGGAAAAAAGGGUAACUUUACAGAGGAGAGACACGACAAACACCGCCUCAGCCCGGUGAUUAAGGUCCUGGUCUAUCAAGAAGACCAUAAUAAGUGGCACCCGAACAGGGACCUGGAGUACGCCCUUGGCAAGCGGAUGGAGUGACUGUGGACCUACUGAGGUUGAUCUCUGAAGAAUUGAUGCUUUUGAACUGUGGUAUUGGAGAAGACUCUUUAGAGUCCCU